RNAcentral lists this ribosomal RNA (256 nucleotides) under uncultured bacterium. RNAcentral's name for it is "partial small subunit ribosomal RNA". It matches the Rfam family "Bacterial small subunit ribosomal RNA", at positions 26 to 284 of the family's 1533-position model. The record is from RNAcentral.
AGGACGAACGCUGGCGGCGUGCUUAACACAUGCAAGUCGAGCGGUGAUCCUCCUUCGGGAGGUGAUCAGCGGCGAACGGGUGAGUAACACGUGGGCAACCUGCCCCUCACACUGGGAUAACCUCGGGAAACCGGGGCUAAUACCGGAUACGACCUCGAGCGGCAUCUCUUGAGGUGGAAAGCUCCGACGGUGAGGGAUGGGCCCGCGGCCUAUCAGCUUGUUGGUGGGGUAAUGGCCUACCAAGGCGACGACGGGU